This 468-nucleotide ribosomal RNA is filed under the name uncultured bacterium. RNAcentral's name for it is "bacterial SSU rRNA". It matches the Rfam family "Bacterial small subunit ribosomal RNA", at positions 335 to 794 of the family's 1533-position model. The record is from RNAcentral.
ACUCCUACGGGAGGCAGCAGUGAGGAAUAUUGCGCAAUGGAGGCAACUCUGACGCAGCCAUGCCGCGUGCAGGAAGACGGCCCUACGGGUUGUAAACUGCUUUUAUCCGGGAAGAAUCCCCAGUUCGUGAAACUGGGCUUGACGGUACCGGAGGAAUAAGCACCGGCUAACUCCGUAGCCAGCAGCCGCGGUAAUACGGAGGGUGGCAAGCGUUAUCCGGAUUCAUUGGGUUUAAAGGGUGCGUAGGCGGAACGGGUAAAGUCAGUGGUGAAAUCCUGCAGCUUAACUGUAGAACUGCCAUUGAUACUGUCGUUCUUGAGUGCGCUUGACGUGGGCGGAAUGUGCCGUGUAGCGGUGAAAUGCUUAGAUAUGGCACAGAACACCAAUUGCGAAGGCAGCUCACGAAAGCGAAACUGACGCUGAGGCACGAAAGCGUGGGGAUCGAACAGGAUUAGAUACCCUGGUAGG